AACGUAGGUUCCGAGCGUUAUCCGGAUUUACUGGGCGUAAAGCGCGUUCAGGCGGUUUGGCAAGUCGGGCAUGAAAUCCCUCGGCUCAACCGGGGAACUGCGUCCGAUACUGGUGGGCUCGAAUCCGGGAGAGGGAUGUGGAAUUCCAGGUGUAGCGGUGAAAUGCGUAGAUAUCUGGAGGAACACCGGUGGCGAAGGCGGCAUCCUGGACCGGUAUUGACGCUGAGGCGCGAAAGCCAGGGGAGCAAACGGG
Molecule: ribosomal RNA, 253 nt
Filed under: uncultured bacterium
Lineage: Bacteria
Description: partial 16S ribosomal RNA
Rfam family: Bacterial small subunit ribosomal RNA
Source: RNAcentral